This is a long non-coding RNA of Ictalurus punctatus (channel catfish), 1744 nucleotides long. The record is from Ensembl. Lineage: Eukaryota; Metazoa; Chordata; Actinopteri; Siluriformes; Ictaluridae.
UGAAUCUUGAGUCUUGAAUCUUGAAAGUGAUGGCAAAUAUUCACGAGAAGAGUUUAUUCCAAUGGUAAAAAAGGUUUUAAAAAAAAACCCCACAAAGAAACAAAAAACCCCACCUCUGAUGCCAUGAUCACUAUGACGAGUAUGUUAGGAAGUUGGGGUCGGUGCGCAGCGGCAGCCAUGAUACAGCGCCCCCUGGAGCGGAGAGGGUUAAGAGCCUUGCUCAAGGGCCCAACAGUGGCAGCGCUGGGGCUUGGAACCUCCGACCUUCUGAUCAGUAACCCAGAGCCUUUAACCGUCAGUAUAAAGGCAAAUUAAAGUCCCAAAUUUCAAGCAAAUGUAGCAAUAAGUCUGAAAAAGUGAAGAAUAUAAAUCAGUUAGUCAUAAUGUUGCAGCCUUAAUACAAAUUCUUAAACAAAUUAGUCGGACGUAAUUUUCUCCUUCAAUAUUCAGUAUUUUAUAUAUGCUAUUUAAUAUUGUGUAAUUAAGCUAAAAUGAGUUAAUACCCUCUGAAAAUGUUUAUUUAUUUCCUUCUUAUUACAUUACGCUAGCCAUCUUUAUGUCAGUUGAAAUGCUAUGAUAUAAUGGCAGUACACCUUCUCUGACACAGUUUAUAUUUCCAAACAAACACUUACUUAACUUCGAUGUUAACUACUGUAUCUCACCAACACUUACAACUAGAAAUUACAGAAGCAAUGGAUCUGGUUAUUUUCUUCAUUUUCAGGCUUCCUUCUGGAGGUGUAAUUUCCAAUCAGCAUCCGUUAACACCGAGAGAAACAUCUCAUUAUCAUUGAAUUCAUUAUGUAGUCUCUACCACAUUUGCCAUCAGUGAAGACUUUAACGAUCAUGGGGAUUGGACUGCAGGGCUGCAACUAUGCAAAAAAAAAAAAAAAAAAAAAUGCUGGAUAGCUCUAAAAGCAGUUUACUUCCAAACAAAAAGAUUUUUUUCCGAACCUAUUUAUAGUGAUUUUAGGCCUCAAUGUAAAUAUUUUAAAACAAGCAGAUGUAAGGACGAUUUUAAGGAACAGAAUAAAUUAUUUAAAGGAUUCUGACAGAUGUGUCUUGGUAACCAUUACUACCUUUGAUACAUUUUCGUAUCCUGCAUAGUUUAUCAUUUAAAUGACAUUGUAUCAUUUUUUAAAAUAUUAUUUUUUUAAAAAUUCACCUGGAAUUUUGUUUCUCUGUGAUAAAUGCUUCCAUUUUUAAUCUGUAAUUUAUUUAUUAUUAUUUUUAAAAUCAGCACUAAUGCUAUAUUUUGAGGUGCUUAUACGCUGGGCCUUUUCAUUGUGCUGUGUUGUCUUGACUUGUGCAGUGACCACCUGAGCGUCCAUAAAAAAAAACGCUUUUGUGAUUUUACACUUGUGAUUUUACACUUGUGAUUCCCUUCUUUAUUGUUCUGUGGUGUGAGCCGUGGGUUUUUAAAGGUUUUGCCAGACUGUGUGUUAUACAGGCCGUUCCGUAUGCCGUUCCUCUGGUUUAUAAAUGUAUAAAAUUGUGAAUGUGUUCAAUACUAUAUUCAUUAACAGGCUUCCCAGGGCCUCCAUGAUGGAGGAGCCCACAGUGGUGCUAGAGUAAAUGAGUAAACAAUAAGAAAUGAAAUAUUUCAUCAAAGCCGUGACAAAAGCAGCGAGCUACACCGCAGGGCUUUGGGUGCUGUGAGUGUGUGGAUGAGGGUUGUGAGAUGGGGUUGUGGGAAAUGGGACCAGUGUCAUAACCAUAUGAAACAUAAUAAACUACUUUCACUGGU